CCCAGACUCCUACGGGAGGCAGCAGUGGGGAAUAUUGCACAAUGGGGGAAACCCUGAUGCAGCGACGCCGCGUGAGUGAGGAAGUAUUUCGGUAUGUAAAGCUCUAUCAGCAGGGAAGAAAAUGACGGUACCUGACUAAGAAGCCCCGGCUAACUACGUGCCAGCAGCCGCGGUAAUACGUAGGGGGCAAGCGUUAUCCGGAUUCACUGGGUGUAAAGGGAGCGUAGACGGCCAGGCAAGCCUGGAGUGAAAGCCCGGGGCCCAACCCCGGGACUGCUCUGGGAACUGUCCGGCUGGAGUGCGGGAGGGGCAGGCGGAAUUCCUGGUGUAGCGGUGAAAUGCGUAGAUAUUAGGAGGAACACCAGUGGCGAAGGCGGCUUACUGGACGGCAACUGACGCUGAGGCUCGAAAGCGUGGGGAGCAAACAGGAUUAGAUACCCCCGUA
RNAcentral lists this ribosomal RNA (445 nucleotides) under uncultured bacterium. RNAcentral describes it as "partial 16S ribosomal RNA". It matches the Rfam family "Bacterial small subunit ribosomal RNA", at positions 330 to 792 of the family's 1533-position model. The record is from RNAcentral.